GACGAACGCUGGCGGCGUGCUUAACACAUGCAAGUCGAACGGAAAAGCCCUGCUUUUGUCGGGUGCUCGAGUGGCGAACGGGUGAGUAACACGUGAGCAACCUGCCCUUGACUUUGGGAUAACUUCGGGAAACCGGGGCUAAUACCGGAUAGUAGCUCCUGCUGCAUGGUCGGGGUUGGAAAGUUUCGGUGGUUUGAGAUGGACUCGCGGCUCAUCAGCUCGUUGGCUGGGUAGUGGCGUACCAAGGCGUCGACGGGUAGCCGGCAUGCGAGGGUGACCGGCCACAUGGGGACUGAGGUACGGACCAGAAUGGUACGGUAGGCAGCAGUGGGGAGUAUUGCACAGUAGGCGGAAGCCUGAGACGGCAACGCCGCGUGCGUGAUGACGGCCUUCGAGGUGUGAACCGCUAUCGGCUGAGACGAAGCGUGCGUGACGGUAAUGGGUAAGAAAGCCACGGCUAACUACGUG
Molecule: ribosomal RNA, 468 nt
Filed under: uncultured bacterium
Lineage: Bacteria
Description: partial 16S ribosomal RNA
Rfam family: Bacterial small subunit ribosomal RNA
Source: RNAcentral